Clupea harengus (Atlantic herring) is the source of this 779-nucleotide long non-coding RNA. RefSeq lists it as uncharacterized. NCBI's taxonomy places the organism in Eukaryota, Metazoa, Chordata, Actinopteri, Clupeiformes, Clupeidae. The record is from RefSeq and is a predicted model, not a curated record. The transcript has 3 exons.
UGGCAGAGAGCUCCAGAGCAAGGCGGCAGUGACCGGUGUCGCCGCCCUGCUGCCCACACCUGAGGAGGACGUGGGAGUUGCCCCAGCUACUGCCGGUCCUUCAUGCAGACCAGAGGCUGGACUUGCCCCCGCUCAGAACCAGAAGCAGACCUCUGCCCAGUCUAGGACCCGCCCUGCUGACACUGGAGCCCAGGCCAAAGGAGGAGGAGCGCCCCCUAGAGCACGGGGCAGAAGAGCAUCGAGCCCUCCCCGCCAAACUGCACGUGGUCCUCUGCGGGUGCGCAGGCCGCCCCUAUGAAUGUCUCUCAGCCCCCCCCUAUCCUUCAGCCCCCGCAGCAGCAUUCCCUCCAGCCUCCCUGCCCUACUCACACUGCCAUCUGGUGGCCAAAGUGGGGAAAAUCCCCUCCAGCAUUCCUGCCUUAUACACACUGCCUUCUGGUGGCCAAAGUGGGGAAAAUCCCCUCCAGCAUUCCUGCCUUUUACACACUGCCAUCUGGUGGCCAAAGUGGGGAAAAUCCCCUCCAGCAUUCCUGCCUUAUACACACUGCCAUCUGGUGGCCAAAGUGAGUAAUGCGUGCUGGUGAGUGCAUCUCGCUAUGGUGCCCCUGUACGAGUGGACAAAAUGUCUGGGGUCUCAUUGCUGGAAUCACGGGACAAUUUGGGCUUCAUGUGUCAAACAACGGGCUUGAGUAAAGACCUGGGUUGGAGAACUUUGGGCAGGGAAAAUGGCUUAUUUUGUUAUAUAUUUUUUCAUAGUAAAUAAAAUUCUAAUAAAACUC